This 254-nucleotide ribosomal RNA is filed under the name uncultured bacterium. RNAcentral's name for it is "partial 16S ribosomal RNA". It matches the Rfam family "Bacterial small subunit ribosomal RNA", at positions 524 to 776 of the family's 1533-position model. The record is from RNAcentral.
UACGUAGGGCGCAAGCGUUAUCCGGAAUUAUUGGGCGUAAAGAGCUCGUAGGCGGUUUGUCACGUCGGCUGUGAAAACCCGAGGCUCAACCUCGGGCCUGCAGUCGAUACGGGCAGACUAGAGUAUGGCAGGGGAGACUGGAAUUCCUGGUGUAGCGGUGAAAUGCGCAGAUAUCAGGAGGAACACCGGUGGCGAAGGCGGGUCUCUGGGCCAUAACUGACGCUGGAGGAGCGAAAGCGUGGGGAGCGAACAGG